RNAcentral lists this ribosomal RNA (774 nucleotides) under uncultured Neocallimastigales. RNAcentral's name for it is "partial large subunit ribosomal RNA". It matches the Rfam family "Eukaryotic large subunit ribosomal RNA", at positions 19 to 615 of the family's 3401-position model. Lineage: Eukaryota; Fungi; Neocallimastigomycota; Neocallimastigomycetes; Neocallimastigales. The record is from RNAcentral.
CGAGCACGCGCGUGUGGCAUAUCAAUAAGCGGAGGAAAAGAAACUAACAAGGAUUCCCCUAGUAACGGCGAGUGAAGCGGGAAGAGCUCAAAUUUGAAAUCUUAAAGGGUUUCCCUUUACGAAUUGUAGUUUAAAGAAGUGUUUUCUGUCGGAGUUUCGGUAAAAGUUCUUUGGAAUAGGACAUCAUAGAGGGUGAGAAUCCCGUAUUUGACCGUUACUUUCCAGCUGUGUGAUACACUUUCAAAGAGUCGGAUUGUUUGGGAAUGCAGUCCAAAAUGGGUGGUGAAUUUCAUCUAAAGCUAAAUAUUGGCGAGAGACCGAUAGCGAACAAGUACCGUGAGGGAAAGAUGAAAAGAACUUUGAAAAGAGAGUUAAACAGUACGUGAAAUUGUCAAAAGGGAAGCGUUUGACACCAGUGUUGUUUUCUCGAAAAUCAAUUAAGAAUGUUUUGUUUUUAAGAAGUUAUGACUUCAUCGGCUUGCUUCUUUCUUUACGAAACUUUCUUAAUGCACUUUUCGGUUAACAAGUCAACAUCAAUUUCUUUUGUUGUAAAAGGGUAUGAGGAAGGUGGCUUUCUUUUCGGAGAAAGUGUUUAUAGCCUUGUGCCUCUGCAAUCGGAGAGAUUGAGGUCUGCAGCGUAGAUCCUUCGGGGUUAGAUACGUUUGUGCUAAGUUAUAGCUUUUCAUAGACAACUUGUUGACUAUGUUUAGUCUUGUAGCUUACUCGCUGACGCUAUUUUACCUACGCUUAGGAUGUUGAACUCUAUCACACACA